Molecule: long non-coding RNA, 597 nt
Filed under: Brachypodium distachyon (stiff brome)
Lineage: Eukaryota; Viridiplantae; Streptophyta; Magnoliopsida; Poales; Poaceae
Description: long non-coding RNA (BDIS_LNC003093)
Source: RNAcentral
AAAAGCUGUCGAGUCACUCCUUUCCCCUGGUAUCUAUCAAAGAAGACCCGCUAAUUGAAAAAAAAAACCGCUCAAAACAAAAAAUUCCUGUCAAAAUCAGCUCACGGUCGACAUCAAAAGCCUCUCUCUUCUCUCUUCUCUCUCUCUCUCUCCGGCUUCGUACGGCGGCGCUGCACCGGCUAAUUGUUCAGACCCGGCUAUUAGCUUCAGGUCGAUCCCUGAACCUUUUUUCUCCUUUGUUUCCGUUUAACGCAGUUAAUUUGUUGUCUAGGGUCGAUUCCAUAGAGCUUACAGUGGAUAACACCGUCGUUCAUAUAUUCCACGAAUCGAGCAACAGAAAGUGCAGUGAUGGCACCAAUUUAAUUUGGGUUCUCGUUAAGCGUCAACGUUUUGUUUAGGAAAAUCAGAAUGUUGAGCCGGACACUUCUCAUUUGUCAAAAUUGAGGCUGCAAUUAGAUCCAGAGCACCAUUUUAGCACCACAAUGACCUGCAUGAGCAUGUUUAGAGAAGUAAAACAAGCCAGUUUUGUCUUGCAAUCUAGGGUGGCAGUGAUGUUUAUAUUGUAGCUUGACUGUUUGAUUACGCAAUAAUGCUUAA